CGUCACCGACCAAUUCGCCGACUAUUUUUGACAACAUUAGGAACGCCUUUAAUCCGUUCACAGUUCACCGAACGCAGCCGCCAGCAGAACCCUAUCCUCGGGCCCGCGUUGUCCGUCCGUCGCGGUGAACAACUGGCCCCUCUCCCACUGCGGCUAGCCGCCGGUGCAACCAGAUUAGUUCUGUUCGGCCGGCCGUCCGUUCCCGGAAACUCCAGCAGACCCAUCCGGCCCGGAGUAAUGGAGGCUCUGCGGGCAUGGAGGGCCUCCAAUCUCCUCGGCUUCGCGGCCUCCCGCGCCGUCACCGCCGCCUCCGCGGCGAGGCCACUCCGCCUCCGUUGCUGCUCUGCGGCUGCCCCCACGACGAACCAGAAGCAGCCGCCGCCGCCGCCGCUGCCUCAGGACCGUCGUCGCCGCAGUACCUCCACCUCCACCUCCGACCGCGACUCCAUCCGCGCCAUCCGCCUCAAAAAGGUUGAGGAGCUAAGAGGAAAGGGUUAUGAGCCAUAUGCGUACAAGUGGGAUAGGACUCACACGACUAAGGAGCUUCAGGAAGAGUACACCCAUCUUGAAAAUGGUGAAGUCUGUGAGGAGGCAGCGGUCUCCAUUGCCGGCAGGAUUGUUGCCCGAAGGGCAUUUGGAAAGCUUGUUUUCAUGACUGUAAGAGAUGAUACUGGGACUAUUCAGCUUUACUGCGAGAAAGACAACCUUACAGAGGAACAAUUUGAGCAACUGAAGGCAUUUAUUGAUAUUGGUGAUAUCUUAGGUGCAAGUGGAUCCAUAAAGAAGACAGAGAAAGGGGAACUAUCUCUUUAUAUGAAAAAUUUUGAGAUCCUCACAAAAUCCUUACUCCCACUCCCAGACAAGUAUCAUGGGUUAACUGAUGUCGACAAACGUUAUCGUCAAAGGUAUGUUGACAUGAUCGCAAAUCCUGAGGUUGCUGAUGUAUUCCGAACUAGAGCAAAGGUGGUUUCUGAAAUCCGCAAGACAAUGGAAUCAUUUGGUUUCAUUGAAGUUGAAACUCCAGUUCUACAGGGAGCAGCAGGUGGUGCUGAAGCUAGACCUUUCAUAACCUACCAUAACUCACUUCAAAGAGAUCUUUACUUGAGGAUUGCAACAGAGCUGCAUUUGAAAAGGAUGUUGGUUGGAGGGCUUGAGAGGGUAUACGAGAUUGGAAGAAUUUUCCGGAAUGAAGGCAUCUCUACUCGUCAUAAUCCUGAAUUUACCACCAUUGAGAUAUAUGAAGCAUAUUCAGACUACGAAAGCAUGAUGAAUAUGGCUGAAGAAAUUGUUGUUCGAUGUGCGAUGGCUACUCAUGGCAAGCUUAAGGUUGAUUAUCAGGGAACUGAAAUUUCUCUCGAAAGACCAUGGAGGAGGGAGACCAUGCAUUCUCUUGUCAAAGAAGCAACUGGAAUCGACUUCAACAGCUUCGGCCAAGAUGUUGAAUCUGCUAAAAGUGCUGCAAGAGGACUGCCAGGGAUCAAAGUAGGAAGCAGUGAAAGUACUUCACUGCAAUCCUGUUCAUCUGUUGGACAUGUUCUUAACAAGGUUUUUGAGACUUUUGUUGAAUCUACUCUUGUACAACCAACAUUUGUCCUUGACUACCCAGUUGAGAUAUCUCCAUUGGCAAAACCACAUCGGAGUUAUGCUGGCCUUACUGAACGAUUUGAACUUUUUAUAUGUGGUCGUGAAAUUGGCAAUGCAUUUUCUGAGCUCACAGACCCAAUUGAUCAGAGGAGCCGUUUUGAAAAUCAAAUAAAACAGCACAAUGCUAAACGUGCUGCAAGGGCUAAGGUCAAAUCUACUGAGGAUCAAGGAGAUGAGGAUGAUUAUUCCUAUGAAGUUUGUUUAGAUGAAGACUUCUUAACUUCAUUAGAAUAUGGAAUGCCACCAGCAUCAGGAAUGGGCCUGGGUAUCGACCGGUUAGUAAUGCUUUUGACGAACUCUGCCAGCAUAAGGGAUGUUAUUGCCUUUCCUGUCUUGAAGAUUCAGCAAUAGAUCGAUCCUUCAUUUGAGUUUAAGAUAUAUUAUCUGCAAUAUACCUGGCCAAUCUCUCUCAAAAGCGAUCUGUUAUUUCUGGUGGGUUCAAUCUCCAUGCUGCAGAUUGGGUGUAAGACCCGACUUCUCUCGUCGAUGGAACGUACAAGUUGGUGCCCGUGUCCGAGAGUGAGCAGCGUGAAGCUAAUCUUAAUUUAACUGAAGUUAUUGAAGACCCGAACCAAAGUUGAGAAGAGCCCAAGGCUAGUUUUGCUCAAGAAGGCAAGCCCGGAAGCAUGAACCCUAUUUUCGAUCUAUGCAAUGUUAUUACUUCUAUGUAUUUAUGCAUUUAAGUUUAUAAGAGUUUAUUGAAACCUUAGCUGCAUGAUCCUAGUACCUAUGCUUGAACACUAGUAUGUAUAUGACGCUAGAUUGCUAUGCUAAUAGGGUUUUGGUAAAAGAUGAGUGAUUGCCUGUCAUUCGCGAGAUAUAUGAGUUGCUUGUUUAAUUA
Panicum hallii is the source of this 2485-nucleotide RNA transcript. It is a transcript of the gene named lysine--tRNA ligase, chloroplastic/mitochondrial, with no coding region annotated. The record is from RefSeq and is a predicted model, not a curated record. Lineage: Eukaryota; Viridiplantae; Streptophyta; Magnoliopsida; Poales; Poaceae. The transcript is spliced from 16 exons.